AGUGAAAUGUGAUAUGUAAUGUGAAUUGCAGAAUUCAGUGAAUCAUCAAAUCUUUGAACGCAUCUUGUGCCUUUUGGUAUUCCAAAAGGCACACCUGUUUGAGUG
RNAcentral lists this ribosomal RNA (105 nucleotides) under Uromyces ari-triphylli. Its description in RNAcentral is "partial 5.8S ribosomal RNA". It matches the Rfam family "5.8S ribosomal RNA", at positions 47 to 151 of the family's 154-position model. From Rfam's summary of the family: 5.8S ribosomal RNA (5.8S rRNA) is a component of the large subunit of the eukaryotic ribosome. It is transcribed by RNA polymerase I as part of the 45S precursor that also contains 18S and 28S rRNA. The record is from RNAcentral. Lineage: Eukaryota; Fungi; Basidiomycota; Pucciniomycetes; Pucciniales; Pucciniaceae.